AAAAUAUAAGCCUACACGAUAUAAAUGUAUAUAAAGAAGAAUCCACCAAUUUACAUUUCAAUUCAAGGGAAGGAACUCGCAGUUGAAGAAAGAACAAUAAAUUCUCUGGUUUUGUUUUUGGUUCUAAGACUUUAGGCCUCCUCUUCUGCCAGUGUUCGCGAUGGUUCCUUGCCUCAUCCAGGCAGGGGAUGGCUCCCUCGUCCAUGCCCGAUAGGGGGUUUUCUUCCUCGUUGCCCUUGGGUGGUGGUGUAAAUACUUGGUUUUUUGGCUUAAUUUGGGUUACAGGUAGUACUUUUAUCAGAGAGGAAGAUCGUUAGGAAACCUGCUCUAUAGUCGACCCUAUGGUUCUUGCUGCAUGUGGAUAUCGGUGGGG
This 373-nucleotide unclassified non-coding RNA is filed under the name Hevea brasiliensis (rubber tree). Lineage: Eukaryota; Viridiplantae; Streptophyta; Magnoliopsida; Malpighiales; Euphorbiaceae. The record is from RNAcentral.